UGUAGUCAUAUGCUUGUCUCAAAGAUUAAGCCAUGCAUGUCUAAGUAUAAACAAAUCUAUACUGUGAAACUGCGAAUGGCUCAUUAAAUCAGUUAUAGUUUAUUUGAUAAUACCUUACUACUUGGAUAACCGUAGUAAUUCUAGAGCUAAUACAUGCUAAAAAACCCGACUCUCGGAAGGGUUGUAUUUAUUAGAUAAAAAACCAAUGCGGUCUCGGCCGGUUAUUUGGUGAUUCAUAAUAACUUUGCGAAUCGUAUGACUUUGCGUCGACGAUGAUUCAUUCAAAUUUCUGCCCUAUCAACUUUCGAUGGUAAGGCAUUGGCGUACCAUGGUUACAACGGGUAACGGGGA
This 351-nucleotide ribosomal RNA is filed under the name uncultured fungus. RNAcentral describes it as "SSU rRNA". It matches the Rfam family "Eukaryotic small subunit ribosomal RNA", at positions 21 to 368 of the family's 1831-position model. Lineage: Eukaryota; Fungi. The record is from RNAcentral.